RNAcentral lists this unclassified non-coding RNA (229 nucleotides) under Hevea brasiliensis (rubber tree). The record is from RNAcentral. Lineage: Eukaryota; Viridiplantae; Streptophyta; Magnoliopsida; Malpighiales; Euphorbiaceae.
AAAAAAAGGAAAGGCUAAUUCAUGAAAGCGGUAUCAACCAUAAAUAAAUUGAACUCUAAAGGUAAAUUUAGGCACGCAUCCACUUUUGGCCAAGAAAUUGAACUCUAAGGCUAAGCAAAGCCAGUCUGACAUCCCUGAUGAACUAGAUGCAGGGAUUGUCUCGAAUCAAACAUAUUUGAUAAAUUGAAUAGUCACAUGCCAAGGGCGAGUUUAACCUGAGUUCUAGAGG